AGGACCACCAAGGGUAAAAUCGUGAAUCUGCACCUUAUCAAGGGUAAAAUGGUAAUUAUGUCUUUCAGUAUUCUCUUACUUCAAAACAAUUCUACAAACAAUAUUUCUGACCACAAUAAGUUAUCCUUCAACUCACAAUCUCAAGAAUACUUGGGAACGACUGAUUUCACCAUCAUUGUCGGCGGCAAUACAACAACAAUCUGAAAUAAUAGUACAAUGAAGAGAUCCAUUUCUGACAAAGUUAAGGAAGGCUUUCAUGCGACUUUGUAUUCAGAUCCAGUCCUGAUGCAGACAAAGCUAAGGAGCAAUUCAAAAUUUUGAAAUAUGUGAUACGGGCAUUCAUGCUCCGACGAACUAAAUCUCAGCUUAUCGAGUCGGGGACUCUUGUGUUGCCACCUCUUACUGAGGUUACUAUGUAAGUUCAUCUUUUUCUCAUUCGAAAAAUGACAUAUGAUUGUAGAAAUUUCACUAGAGCUUGUAGAGGAUAUGACUGCUUUAGAUGGUUGUCAACAGUAUAUCAUGUGGUUUUCUUGUACUUGUUUUUGUAAAGUGUUGCUAAUAUAUUAGUAAUUUUGGUUCUACGAUGACACCAUUGAUGGCCUUGGAAAAGAAGGUAUAUAUGUCCAUAUUAAGGAAGGAGCUAACUCAGCUGCUAACACCUGCUUCUGGAGCACCCAAUACUCUGUCAUUGCAGAAUAUUGUAUAUACCUAUAUUUUUGGCCAAGGAGUUUCUCAUUUUAGGUUUGAUGGCUUACAGAUUGAUAAUUUUAACUUGUUCUUAUCUUGUGGUGAAUUUCGAAUGAACUUUUUUGUAUCAAUAGGAAAGUACAACUAGAGGUUUCCUAUUAUACAUUAUAAGUGGCUAUAGAAAGCUUCUAAAGGUUUUGAAUACUCUUUAAUGAGAUAUUGACAUUUGACAGAUAAACUUUACACUGAAGUGGUAGUCUCGAGUUUACUACAUCCUGAGUAGUUAGAGAAGCUAUAGAGCUUCCUUUUUAGGUUGACUACAUGCCAAAUCCUGGCCAGGAUUAUUAGCAGGUGUGAAAUAAAUGAAGCUGAGUUGAAAACUGGAGGUAAGAAUUAAGCUAUGAGUCUUGGUUCUGGCCAAGAGGAUGUUCAAUUAGUAAUCCAUAAUACAUAUGGAACAGUUACAAGUGGCACAUUUUUGUUUACAAUAGCUUGUCACACUUCGGAGUUGAUGGCAUGUUACUUGUAAAAGAAUUCGUGUAAAAUAUUGGAAAAACUACAAAAACUAGCAUCCUUAAGACUAUAAUUACAAUAAAUAAUAAUAUUUUUCCAAAAUUACAACUUAUAGCAAAAGUAGCAAUAUUUUACCACUUUUUAGAAAGGAGCGUAUGCUUCUCCCAUCAGUUUAUCUUUUCCCUUUUUUCAAGCAAUAUUCACUUCUCUCUCCAAUUAACCGCAUCUUCUAUUUUUUUUUUUUCAAUUUCUGCUUUUAUCUCUCAAUUUGUUGAUAAACAUUAUGCUCCAUAGUAUUUGCAUCUCAUCUUUUCAUAUAAUUUAUAUUUUUUUUAUUUUUUCGUAUUGCUUUCUUCUUUAUUUUUUUUUUUUUGAUGUUUUGUGAUUUUUUUGGUGUUUUUCCGGCCGAGGGAUGCCGUUUCCGGCGAUGGGUGGGCUGGUGGCUUUGAUUAGACUGCUGGUUUCGGCAUUUUUCGAUGAAUUUUCGACGGAGGGUCUAUCCGGCGAAUUUCACCGUGAUGGUGACCGGCAACGACAGUAAUGUUGUUUUACCGGCGAGUAUUAGCCGGAACCGAUCACAGGGGUUGAAUUUUAGUUGGUGGUUCGCUGAUUUUGCAGAUCCGGUGAGGGACGGGCUCUCUUCUUUGCUCUCCUCCUUCAAUCCGUCAAUAUUUUUUGAGCUUCCAAUCAUCAAUGGAGUUUUGGGGUGUUGAAGUGAAAGCAGGAGAAUCUCUAAGAAGUCAGCUGGUAAGAAGAUCGGUCCAGUAACGUCUUUUGCCAAGCAAAAUGGUAAACCUGCAGCAGCCAAUGGUAACAACAAAUUUCAGUCCCUGAAAUUCGGCAACAAAUCUAACAACAAGAACGUUAGUGGCCAAAAGAAUUCAAAGGGUAAGCAAGGAAGGAAGUAGAAUGCCUGAAAGACAUAUCAUACAGUGAAGUGUGAAGCCUUUUUGAAGAGCAAAGAGUUAUUAUUUUUAAUUUUUAGUUUAAAGGAUGACAUAGAUGGAUGGUCUCUUUAUGCUUUUUAGUUAUUUUUUAGUUGUAGUCCAAAUUUUGGACGAGUGUUUUUGUUAUCAGAAAGUUUUGUAAAAAAAAAAAACCAGUAAGGGACGGACUUGGCCAUACUUUUUAUGGAUUUUUCGGUGAUGUGGUAGCGGCGGGUAAGUAUAUUCCAACAAGAUUUUUAUAAAAUGUAAUUUUUACAAUAUAAAUAUGUAUUUGUAUUUGAUACUGACAAGAUUUGUAUUUGUAUUAGUAUUUGGUACUGAUAAGAUUUGAAUUUGUUACAUUGUA
Molecule: long non-coding RNA, 2493 nt
Organism: Capsicum annuum
Lineage: Eukaryota; Viridiplantae; Streptophyta; Magnoliopsida; Solanales; Solanaceae
Exons: 2
Source: RefSeq, a predicted model, not a curated record